Molecule: ribosomal RNA, 1390 nt
Filed under: Streptosporangium shengliense
Lineage: Bacteria; Bacillati; Actinomycetota; Actinomycetes; Streptosporangiales; Streptosporangiaceae
Description: bacterial SSU rRNA
Rfam family: Bacterial small subunit ribosomal RNA
Source: RNAcentral
UAGAGUUUGAUCCUGGCUCAACGACGCUGGCGGCGUGCUUAACACAAGUCGAGCGGAAAGGCCCUUCGGGGUACUCGAGCGAACGGGUGAGUAACACGUGAGUAACCUGCCCCUGACUCUGGGAUAAGCGGGAAACUGGGUCUAAUACCGGAUACGACAUGUCGGCAUCGAUCGUGUGUGGAAAGUUUUUUCGGUUGAUGGACUCGCGGCCUAUCAGCUUGUUGGUGGGGUAAUGGCCUCAAGGCGACGACGGGUAGCCGGCCUGAGAGGGCGACCGGCCACACUGGGACUGAGACACGGCCCAGACUCCUGGAGGCAGCAGUGGGGAUUGCGCAGGCGAAAGCCUGACGCAGCGACGCCGCGUGGAUGACGGCCUUCGGGUUGUAAACCAGGGACGAAGUUGACGUGUACCUGCAGAAGAAGCGCCGGCUAACUACGUGCCAGCAGCCGCGGUAAUACGUAGGGCGCAAGCGUUGGGAAUUAUUGGGCGUAAAGAGCUCGUAGGUGGCUUGCACGUCGGGUGUGAAAGCUUGGGGCUUAACUCCAGGUCUGCAUUCGAUACGGGCUGGCUAGAGGUAGGUAGGGGAGAACGUUCCUGGUGUAGCGGUGAAAUGCGCAGAUAUCAGGAGGAACACCGGUGGCGAAGGCGGUUCUCUGGGUUACCUGACGCUGAGGAGCGAAAGCGUGGGGAGCGAACAGGAUUAGAUACCGUAGUCCACGCUGUAAACGUUGGGCGCUAGGUUGGGGACCUUCCACGGUUUCCGCGCCGUAGCUAACGCAUUAAGCGGGGAGUACGGCCGCAAGGCUAAAACUCAAAGGAAUUGACGGGGGCCCGCACAAGCGGCGGAGCAUGUUGCUUAAACGCGAAGAACCUUACCAAGGCUUGACAUCGCCCGAAACCUCAGAGAUGGGUGCCUCUUCGGAUCUGACAGGUGGUGCAUGGCUGUCGUCAGCUCGGGGGUUAAGUCCCGCAACGAGCGCAACCCUUGUUCAAUGUUGCCAGCAACAUCCUUCGGGGUGGUUGGGGACUCAUAGACCGGGGUCAACUCGGAGGAAGGUGGGGGACGUCAAGUCAUCAUGCCCCUUAUGUCUUGGGCUGCAAACAUGACAAUGGCCGGUACAGAGGGUUGCGAUACCGCAAGGUGGAGCGAAUCCCUAAAAGCCGGUCUCAGGAUUGGGGUCUGCAACUCGACCCCAUGAAGUCGGAGUCGCUAGUAAUCCAGAUCAGCAACGCGGUGAAUACGUUCCCGGGCCUUGUACACACCGCCCGUCACGUCACGAAAGCAACACCCGAAGCCCGUGGCCCAACCAGCUUGUCUGGGGGGAGCGGGGCUGGCGAUUGGGAGUCGUAACAAGGUAGCCGUACCGGAAGGUGCUGGAUCACCUCAAU